This 423-nucleotide unclassified non-coding RNA is filed under the name uncultured fungus. RNAcentral's name for it is "partial contains 5.8S ribosomal RNA and internal transcribed spacer 2". The stretch from base 1 to 132 matches the Rfam family "5.8S ribosomal RNA", at positions 22 to 154 of the family's 154-position model. Lineage: Eukaryota; Fungi. The record is from RNAcentral.
UGGCUCUCGCAACGAUGAAGAACGCAGCGAAAUGCGAUACGUAGUGUGAAUUGCAGAAUUCCGCGAAUCAUCGAGUUUUUGAACGCAACUUGCGCCCGCGGCUCGUCCAAGGGCAUGCCUGCCCGAGCGUCCUCACAACCCCCACGCUCCGCCUCCCCUCGGGGAGGCUCAGAGCGGAGAUGGUCGUCCGUGUGACCCUUUGCGGGAGCGCGGUCGGCUGAAAUGGAUCGGUGGCACCGUGCGACAACGUGUCGCAAGGGUGGUCCACCCCUUGUGCAUCGAGGGGUGGCUAUUUGCGGCCGCGUCGUCCGGAGGUGCACGUGCCGAAUCGGGCUCAUACGGGGACAACGCCCUUUGCGAAGGAGUGCUUGGAACCCCUGUGAUCACAUCUCGGACCUCGGAUCAGGCAAGGCUACCCGCUGA